Molecule: ribosomal RNA, 253 nt
Filed under: uncultured bacterium
Lineage: Bacteria
Description: partial 16S ribosomal RNA
Rfam family: Bacterial small subunit ribosomal RNA
Source: RNAcentral
UACGUAGGGGGCAAGCGUUGUCCGGAAUCAUUGGGCGUAAAGAGCGUGUAGGCGGCCCGAUAAGUCCGCCGUGAAAGUCCAGGGCUCAACCCUGGAAUGCCGGUGGAAACUGUCGGGCUGGAGUCCGGAAGAGGCGAGUGGAAUUCCUGGUGUAGCGGUGAAAUGCGCAGAUAUCAGGAGGAACACCGAUGGCGAAGGCAGGUCUCUGGGCCGAUACUGACGCUGAGGAGCGAAAGCGUGGGGAGCGAACAGG